This 887-nucleotide long non-coding RNA is filed under the name Mytilus galloprovincialis (Mediterranean mussel). Lineage: Eukaryota; Metazoa; Mollusca; Bivalvia; Mytilida; Mytilidae. The record is from RNAcentral.
GGAAAUUUGAUUUAUUAAAUUAUAGUUUAUACACAAUACAAUGUAUCUGUUAUCAAUAAUUUCAGCAGGCAGGUAUCUAGUCUAUUCUUAGGAAAUUACAUAACAUCUAUUUUUAGCUUAGUAGGAAUAGUGCCCUAGAGGGGGGUUAGAGUAUUGUUGAUGAAUUGAGAGGAAGCAUCGUUGUAUUUGAUGCAAUUACAAUCAGUUACUUUCAUUUUAUGAACUCAUUUCAUUUGGCUUUUAAUUCCAGGGGAAUCAUACUCCCCCAAUUCAAUAAUACAUCAGAUAGGUAAUUCCUGUCGAGGAACAAAUUGUAUUUUAAGUAGUAUUUUUACUACGCUGGGAUCGCCCAGGAGCAAUUAGGUUCAUUCCUGGGGAUCGCCCCAGGAAUUAGGUUCAUUCCUGUCGAGGAACAAAUAGGUUCAUUCUGGGAUCGCCCAGGACUAGGUUCAUUCCUGGGGUCGCCUCAGGAAUUAGGUCCAUUCCUGUCGAGGAAAAUAGGUUCAUUCCUGGGGAUCGCCCCAGGAACUAGGUUCAUUCCUAGGGAUCACCCCAGGAAAUAGGUUCAUUCCUGCCGAGGAACAAAUAGGUUCAUUCCUGGGGAUCGCCACAGGAACAUUUUUUACUAAUCGCUUAUUUUUAUUUUUUUCAUAUUUUGAUAAGUUUUGAAUUUAUUUUCUCAUAUUUUGAAUAGUUUGAAAUGUUUAUUUCAAUUCUCUUAAGUGAAUGAGUAGCCCCCAGAAAGCCAAUAAUGUAUUAUAUAGUUUGUCAUACAAUGUAGAAAGAUAUGUACUGUUAUGAUACAGUUUAUUUAGUUGUAGUUUUAGUAUGUUUUGAUAUUUUAUUAAUAAACAUAAAUCUUAAAUUGUGUUGUGUAUAAAGUACAA